AAGAUUUUAAGUUAAAAAAACUCAUGACCUUCAAAGUCAUUAUUAAAUAUUAUUUAAAUCUUA
Molecule: transfer RNA, 63 nt
Filed under: Glomeridesmus spelaeus
Lineage: Eukaryota; Metazoa; Arthropoda; Diplopoda; Glomeridesmida; Glomeridesmidae
Description: tRNA-Trp
Source: RNAcentral